This 803-nucleotide ribosomal RNA is filed under the name Planomicrobium sp. Y74. Its description in RNAcentral is "bacterial LSU rRNA". It matches the Rfam family "Bacterial large subunit ribosomal RNA", at positions 2125 to 2925 of the family's 2925-position model. Lineage: Bacteria; Bacillati; Bacillota; Bacilli; Caryophanales; Caryophanaceae. The record is from RNAcentral.
UGGUGCAACUUGUACAGGAUAGGUAGGAGCCAAUGAACCCGGAGCGCCAGCUUCGGGGGAGGCGUCGGUGGGAUACUACCCUGGUUGUAUUGAACUUCUAACCCGCACCCCUGAUCGGGGUGGGAGACAGUGUCAGGCGGGCAGUUUGACUGGGGCGGUCGCCUCCUAAAGAGUAACGGAGGCGCCCAAAGGUUCCCUCAGAAUGGUUGGAAAUCAUUCGCAGAGUGUAAAGGCAGAAGGGAGCUUGACUGCGAGACGUACAGGUCGAGCAGGGUCGAAAGACGGGCUUAGUGAUCCGGUGGUUCCGCAUGGAAGGGCCAUCGCUCAACGGAUAAAAGCUACCCCGGGGAUAACAGGCUUAUCUCCCCCAAGAGUCCACAUCGACGGGGAGGUUUGGCACCUCGAUGUCGGCUCAUCGCAUCCUGGGGCUGUAGUCGGUCCCAAGGGUUGGGCUGUUCGCCCAUUAAAGCGGUACGCGAGCUGGGUUCAGAACGUCGUGAGACAGUUCGGUCCCUAUCCGUCGCGGGCGCAGGAAAUUUGAGAGGAGCUGUCCUUAGUACGAGAGGACCGGGAUGGACACACCGCUGGUGUACCAGUUGUUCCGCCAGGGGCAUCGCUGGGUAGCUAUGUGUGGCCGGGAUAAGUGCUGAAAGCAUCUAAGCACGAAGCCCCCCUCAAGAUGAGAUUUCCCAUUGCGCAAGCAAGUAAGAUCCCUCAAAGACGAUGAGGUAGAUAGGUUCGAGGUGGAAGCGUGGCGACACGUGCAGCUGACGAAUACUAAUCGAUCGAGGACUUAACCAAUU